CUACACAUGCAGUCGAGCGGUAACAGAGAGUAGCUUGCUACUUUGCUGACGAGCGGCGGACGGGUGAGUAAUGCUUGGGAAUAUGCCUUUUGGUGGGGGACAACAGUUGGAAACGACUGCUAAUACCGCAUAAUGUCUACGGACCAAAGUGGGGGACCUUCGGGCCUCACGCCAAAAGAUUAGCCCAAGUGGGAUUAGCUAGUUGGUAAGGUAAUGGCUUACCAAGGCAACGAUCCCUAGCUGGUUUGAGAGGAUGAUCAGCCACACUGGGACUGAGACACGGCCCAGACUCCUACGGGAGGCAGCAGUGGGGAAUAUUGCACAAUGGGCGCA
RNAcentral lists this ribosomal RNA (333 nucleotides) under bacterium ocnta466lb834offp11.19. Its description in RNAcentral is "bacterial SSU rRNA". It matches the Rfam family "Bacterial small subunit ribosomal RNA", at positions 49 to 379 of the family's 1533-position model. The record is from RNAcentral.